GUUCAUCCCAGAGGAGUGACUCUAAGAACACAGGGUGGUGUUUGACCACUUUUACAUAUAUGGCUAAUGCAUCUUGUGUUCUCAGGUCACCCCUUUGAGACACAC
RNAcentral lists this microRNA precursor (105 nucleotides) under Rosa chinensis. Its description in RNAcentral is "sRNA RchiOBHm_Chr4g0438811". It matches the Rfam family "MIR398 microRNA precursor family". Lineage: Eukaryota; Viridiplantae; Streptophyta; Magnoliopsida; Rosales; Rosaceae. The record is from Rfam by way of RNAcentral.